RNAcentral lists this ribosomal RNA (2903 nucleotides) under Segatella copri. RNAcentral's name for it is "23S ribosomal RNA". It matches the Rfam family "Bacterial large subunit ribosomal RNA". The record is from RNAcentral. Lineage: Bacteria; Pseudomonadati; Bacteroidota; Bacteroidia; Bacteroidales; Prevotellaceae.
UAAAGAAAGUAAGAAAGGGCGUAUGGCGGAUGCCUAGGCUCACGGAGGCGAUGAAGGACGUGAUAAGCUGCGAUAAGCUUCGGGUAGGUGCAAAUAACCCUUGAUCCGAAGAUUUCCGAAUGGGACAACCUAGCCGUCUGAAGGACGGUUACUCAAUCUUCAAGGUUGAGAGCUAACGCAGGGAACUGAAACAUCUUAGUACCUGUAGGAAGAGAAAAUAAAUGAAUGAUUCCCCCAGUAGUGGCGAGCGAACGGGGAACAGCCCAAACCGUUGACGUCGCAAGGCGCCAGCGGGGUUGUAGGACCGCGACAUUGUAUGCAAAUCGUGAACAGAACACUUUGGAAAAUGUGACCAUAGACGGUGAUAGUCCAGUAUGUGAAGCGAAAUGCAGCAUAGCGGUAUCCUGAGUAACGCGGGACACGAGGAAUCCUGCGCGAAUCUGCCGGGACCAUCCGGUAAGGCUAAAUACUCCCGUGAGACCGAUAGCGAACGAGUACUGUGAAGGAAAGGUGAAAAGAACCCCGAGCAGGGGAGUGAAAUAGUUCCUGAAACCAUACGCCUACAAGCGGUCGGAGCAUCUUACGAUGUGACGGCGUGCCUUUUGCAUAAUGAUCCUACGAGUUACCGUCACUGGCGAGGUUGAGUGUCACGAGACACGUAGCCGCAGUGAAAGCGAGCCUGAACAGGGCGCAUAGUCAGUGGGGGUAGACGCGAAACCAAGUGAUCUACACUUGGCCAGGAUGAAGUCCCGGUAACACGGGAUGGAGGUCCGCACCAAUAAGCGUUGAAAAGCUUCUGGAUGAGCCGAGUGUAGGAGUGAAAGGCCAAUCAAACUUGGAGAUAGCUCGUACUCCCCGAAAGGCAUUUAGGUGCCGCGUCGGAUGGUCACCGUGAGAGGUAGAGCGACCGAUAGGACAAGAGGGCUUCACCGCCUAUCGAGUCCUGACGAACUCCGAAUGCUCACGGUCUGCAGUCCGGCAGUAAGGGGGCGGGUGCUAAGGUCCGUCCCCGAGAGGAGAAGAAUCCAGACCGCCGUCUAAGGUCCCGGAGUUCUGCCUGAGUUAGUCUAACGAAGUCUGGUCCCUAUGACAGCUAGGAUGUUGGCUUGGAAGCAGCCAUUCAUUCAAAGAGUGCGUAACAGCUCACUAGUCGAGGGUCCGGGCAUGGAUAAUAAUCGGGUAUAAGGCAGACACCGAAGGCGCGGGAUAGCAUUUAAGAAAGUAUCGGUAGGGGAGCAUACUCACAGCGUUGAAUGGUGUACGUAAGUUAUCCUGGAGCGGUGAGUAAAGCAAAUGUAGGAAUAAGUAACGAUAAGGAGGGUUAGAUUCCCUCCCGCUGUAAGACCAAGGUUUCCCGGGCAAUGCCAAUCAGCCCGGGGUCAGUCGGGUCCUAAGUCUAAGCCGAACGGCGAUGGCGAUGGCAGAGACGGUUAAUAUUCCGUCACUGCCGCAUGGGGCGACGUGGAGACGGAGCAGUGAAACCACCGCGGGGCGACGGAAGUCCCCGUUGAAGAGUGUAGGUGUUGAGGAUGGCAGGCAAAUCCACCGUCCGAGCUGAACUUGAUAGUAUGGAGUCUUCUUCGGAAGAAUCCAAUAGUGUGGGUAAUCAUACUCCCGAGAAAAUCCGCUAAGCUUAACCCAUGCGGCACCCGUACCGCAAACGGACACACGUGGUCGGGUAGAACAUACUAAGGCGUUGAGAGAUUCAUGGUUAAGGAACUAGGCAAAUUGACCCUGUAACUUCGGGAUAAAGGGUCCUCGUGAUGAGCGAGGCGCAGAGAAUAGGUCCAGGCAACUGUUUAACAAAAACACAGGGCUGUGCAAACUCGAAAGAUGACGUAUACAGCCUGACACCUGCCCGGUGCCGGAAGGUUAAGAGGAGAUGUCACUCGCAAGAGGAAGCAUUGAAUUGAAGCCCCGGUAAACGGCGGCCGUAACUAUAACGGUCCUAAGGUAGCGAAAUUCCUUGUCGGGUAAGUUCCGACCUGCACGAAUGGUGUAAUGAUCCGGACGCUGUCUCAACCAUGAGCUCAGUGAAAUUGUAGUAUCGGUGAAGAUGCCGAUUACCCGCGAUGGGACGAAAAGACCCCGUGAACCUUUACUACAGCUUAGCAUUGACCUUGGUCAUCCGAUGUGUAGGAUAGGCCGGAGGCUUCGAAGCGGGAGCGCCAGCUUUCGUGGAGCCAUCCUUGAAAUACGGCCCUUUGGCUGUCUGAGGUCUAACUCGCUAGUGCGAGGACACUGCUUGGUGGGUAGUUUGACUGGGGUGGUCGCCUCCAAAAGCGUAACGGAGGCUUCCAAAGGUGCCCUCGGGUCGAUUGGUAACCGACCUCAAAGAGUGCAAUGGCAUAAGGGCGCUUGACUGGGAGGCAGACAUGCCGAGCAGGCAGGAAACUGGGGCAUAGUGAUCCGGCGGAUGUGUAUGGAAACUCCGUCGCUCAAAGGAUAAAAGGUACUCCGGGGAUAACAGGCUGAUCCCCCCCAAGAGCUCAUAUCGACGGGGUGGUUUGGCACCUCGAUGUCGGCUCGUCACAUCCUGGGGCUGGAGAAGGUCCCAAGGGUUGGGCUGUUCGCCCAUUAAAGUGGCACGCGAGCUGGGUUCAGAACGUCGUGAGACAGUUCGGUCUCUAUCUAUCGUGGGCGUGGGAGUUUUGAGUGGUGCCGUCACUAGUACGAGAGGACCGUGAUGGACAGACCUCCGGUUUACCAGUUGUGCCGCCAGGCGCACCGCUGGGUAUCUGAGUCUGGAUUGGAUAAGCGCUGAAAGCAUCUAAGUGCGAAGCCAGCCGCAAGAUGAGAACUCCAUUGAGGGUCGUCAGAGACGAUGACGUUGAUAGGAUGCAGGUGUAAAGACAGCGAUGUCAAAGCCGAGCAUUACUAAUUGCCCGAACACUUUCUUUAUU